This 18-nucleotide ribosomal RNA is filed under the name Saccharomyces cerevisiae (brewer's yeast). RNAcentral describes it as "25S ribosomal RNA from Saccharomyces cerevisiae (PDB 2WW9, chain G)". Lineage: Eukaryota; Fungi; Ascomycota; Saccharomycetes; Saccharomycetales; Saccharomycetaceae. The record is from RNAcentral.
GCCAGCACCUUUGCUGGC